RNAcentral lists this ribosomal RNA (373 nucleotides) under uncultured organism. RNAcentral's name for it is "partial 16S ribosomal RNA". It matches the Rfam family "Bacterial small subunit ribosomal RNA", at positions 527 to 896 of the family's 1533-position model. The record is from RNAcentral.
GUAGGUGGCAAGCGUUGUCCGGAAUUAUUGGGCGUAAAGCGCGCGCAGGCGGUCCUUUAAGUCUGAUGUGAAGGCCCACGGCUCAACCGUGGAGGGUCAUUGGAAACUGGGGGACUUGAGUACAGAAGAGGAAAGCGGAAUUCCAAGUGUAGCGGUGAAAUGCGUAGAGAUUUGGAGGAACACCAGUGGCGAAGGCGGCUUUCUGGUCUGUAACUGACGCUGAGGCGCGAAAGCGUGGGGAGCAAACAGGAUUAGAUACCCUGGUAGUCCACGCCGUAAACGAUGAGUGCUAAGUGUUAGGGGGUUUCCCGCCCCCUUAGUGCUGCAGCUAACGCAUUAAGCACUCCGCCUGGGGAGUACGGCCGCAAGGCUG